This 279-nucleotide ribosomal RNA is filed under the name Triticum aestivum (bread wheat). Its description in RNAcentral is "partial small subunit ribosomal RNA". The record is from RNAcentral. Lineage: Eukaryota; Viridiplantae; Streptophyta; Magnoliopsida; Poales; Poaceae.
AAUCGAUCACGUGCAGAGGGGAAUAGCAGGUUGUACGUCUCUGUCAGAGACUACUACUGUUACAUGCUAUAGACACGGCCUGCCAUUUUCAAUCCCAUACUCUGUGGAGCACGCCUGCUACAGCAAUGGGCGGUCGACAUGUAUGUCAAGAUUGAGAGUUGUCGGUUGAGGUGGCUCAGGAAGAACCAGACGCAGAUUCGGGCCGACUUGUAUAAAGGUGUUGUUGAUGCGAUCACAUCGGGCGAGACGCGAGCAAGCACUGUUGGGACAAGAAUAGUG